RNAcentral lists this ribosomal RNA (716 nucleotides) under uncultured bacterium. Its description in RNAcentral is "bacterial SSU rRNA". It matches the Rfam family "Bacterial small subunit ribosomal RNA", at positions 28 to 720 of the family's 1533-position model. The record is from RNAcentral.
GACGAACGCUGGCGGCGUGCCUAAUACAUGCAAGUCGAACGCUGCUUAGAAAGAAACUUCGGUUUUUUCUUAAGCGGAGUGGCGGACGGGUGAGUAACACGUGGGGAACCUAUCCAUCAGCGGGGGAUAACACUUGGAAACAGGUGCUAAUACCGCAUAGGGCUUUUUUUCACCUGAAAGAAAGCUAAAAGGCGCUUUACAGCGUCACUGAUGGCUGGUCCCGCGGUGCAUUAGCCAGUUGGUGAGGUAACGGCUCACCAAAGCAACGAUGCAUAGCCGACCUGAGAGGGUGAUCGGCCACACUGGGACUGAGACACGGCCCAGACUCCUACGGGAGGCAGCAGUAGGGAAUCUUCGGCAAUGGACGCAAGUCUGACCGAGCAACGCCGCGUGAGUGAAGAAGGUUUUCGGAUCGUAAAGCUCUGUUGUCAGCAAAGAACAGGAGAAAGAGGCAAUGCUUUUUCUAUGACGGUAGCUGACCAGAAAGCCACGGCUAACUACGUGCCAGCAGCCGCGGUAAUACGUAGGUGGCAAGCGUUGUCCGGAUUUAUUGGGCGUAAAGCGAGCGCAGGCGGUGAUUUAAGUCUGAUGUGAAAGCCCCCAGCUCAACUGGGGAGGGUCAUUGGAAACUGGAUCACUUGAGUGCAGAAGAGGAGAGUGGAAUUCCAUGUGUAGCGGUGAAAUGCGUAGAUAUAUGGAGGACACCAGUGGCGAAG